GACGAACGCUGGCGGCGUGCUUAACACAUGCAAGUCGAACGGAAAGGCCCUGCUUUUGUGGGGUGCUCGAGUGGCGAACGGGUGAGUAACACGUGAGUAACCUGCCCUUGACUUUGGGAUAACUUCAGGAAACUGGGGCUAAUACCGGAUAGGAGCUCCUGCUGCAUGGUGGGGGUUGGAAAGUUUCGGCGGUUGGGGAUGGACUCGCGGCUUAUCAGCUUGUUGGUGGGGUAGUGGCUUACCAAGGCUUUGACGGGUAGCCGGCCUGAGAGGGUGACCGGCCACAUUGGGACUGAGAUACGGCCCAGACUCCUACGGGAGGCAGCAGUGGGGAAUAUUGCACAAUGGGCGGAAGCCUGAUGCAGCAACGCCGCGUGCGGGAUGACGGCCUUCGGGUUGUAAACCGCUUUCGCCUGUGACGAAGCGCGAGUGACGGUAAUGGGUAAGGAAGCACCGGCUAACUACGUG
This 468-nucleotide ribosomal RNA is filed under the name uncultured bacterium. Its description in RNAcentral is "partial 16S ribosomal RNA". It matches the Rfam family "Bacterial small subunit ribosomal RNA", at positions 28 to 507 of the family's 1533-position model. The record is from RNAcentral.